RNAcentral lists this ribosomal RNA (452 nucleotides) under uncultured bacterium. Its description in RNAcentral is "bacterial SSU rRNA". It matches the Rfam family "Bacterial small subunit ribosomal RNA", at positions 355 to 825 of the family's 1533-position model. The record is from RNAcentral.
UCGAGAAUCUUCCGCAAUGGACGAAAGUCUGACGGAGCGACGCCGCGUGAUGGAUGAAGUCCCUCUGGGACGUAAACAUCUUUUAUGAGGGAGAAAGUUUAUUGAUAGUACCUCACGAAUAAGGGGUUGCUAAACUCGUGCCAGCAGCAGCGGUAAUACGAGUGCCCCGAGCGUUAUCCGGAAUCAUUGGGCGUAAAGGGUGUGUAGGUGGCAUUGUUAGUCACACGUUAAACCCUGGGGCUUAACCCCAGAUCUGCGUGUGAUACGGCAAAGCUAGAGGAUGGCAGGGAUGUAUGGAACUCAUGGAGUAGGGGUGAAAUCCGUUGAUAUCAUGGGGAACACCAAAAGCGAAGGCAGUACAUUGGGCCACUCCUGACACUGAAACACGAAAGCGUAGGUAGCGAAUGGGAUUAGAUACCCACGUAGUCCCUGAGCGGGCUGGCAAGGCGCAU